RNAcentral lists this ribosomal RNA (1197 nucleotides) under Pseudomonas aeruginosa. RNAcentral's name for it is "partial 23S ribosomal RNA". It matches the Rfam family "Bacterial large subunit ribosomal RNA", at positions 1748 to 2925 of the family's 2925-position model. Lineage: Bacteria; Pseudomonadati; Pseudomonadota; Gammaproteobacteria; Pseudomonadales; Pseudomonadaceae. The record is from RNAcentral.
GCGCCGGCUAGGGUGAAGGAUUUACUCCGUAAGCUCUGGCUGGUCGAAGAUACCAGGCCGCUGCGACUGUUUAUUAAAAACACAGCACUCUGCAAACACGAAAGUGGACGUAUAGGGUGUGACGCCUGCCCGGUGCCGGAAGGUUAAUUGAUGGGGUUAGCGCAAGCGAAGCUCUUGAUCGAAGCCCCGGUAAACGGCGGCCGUAACUAUAACGGUCCUAAGGUAGCGAAAUUCCUUGUCGGGUAAGUUCCGACCUGCACGAAUGGCGUAACGAUGGCGGCGCUGUCUCCACCCGAGACUCAGUGAAAUUGAAAUCGCUGUGAAGAUGCAGUGUAUCCGCGGCUAGACGGAAAGACCCCGUGAACCUUUACUGUAGCUUUGCACUGGACUUUGAGCCUGCUUGUGUAGGAUAGGUGGGAGGCUUUGAAGCGUGGACGCCAGUUCGCGUGGAGCCAUCCUUGAAAUACCACCCUGGCAUGCUUGAGGUUCUAACUCUGGUCCGUAAUCCGGAUCGAGGACAGUGUAUGGUGGGCAGUUUGACUGGGGCGGUCUCCUCCUAAAGAGUAACGGAGGAGUACGAAGGUGCGCUCAGACCGGUCGGAAAUCGGUCGUAGAGUAUAAAGGCAAAAGCGCGCUUGACUGCGAGACAGACACGUCGAGCAGGUACGAAAGUAGGUCUUAGUGAUCCGGUGGUUCUGUAUGGAAGGGCCAUCGCUCAACGGAUAAAAGGUACUCCGGGGAUAACAGGCUGAUACCGCCCAAGAGUUCAUAUCGACGGCGGUGUUUGGCACCUCGAUGUCGGCUCAUCACAUCCUGGGGCUGAAGCCGGUCCCAAGGGUAUGGCUGUUCGCCAUUUAAAGUGGUACGCGAGCUGGGUUUAGAACGUCGUGAGACAGUUCGGUCCCUAUCUGCCGUGGACGUUUGAGAUUUGAGAGGGGCUGCUCCUAGUACGAGAGGACCGGAGUGGACGAACCUCUGGUGUUCCGGUUGUCACGCCAGUGGCAUUGCCGGGUAGCUAUGUUCGGAAAAGAUAACCGCUGAAAGCAUCUAAGCGGGAAACUUGCCUCAAGAUGAGAUCUCACUGGGAACUUGAUUCCCCUGAAGGGCCGUCGAAGACUACGACGUUGAUAGGCUGGGUGUGUAAGCGUUGUGAGGCGUUGAGCUAACCAGUACUAAUUGCCCGUGAGGCUUGACCAU